GCGUUUCCGUUCGUAGCACAACCCGCUCUGACCUCCUCGAUAACUCGCACUUAUCUCGGAUCACGCUCAAAUGAUUUUUCCUUCGUUUCUCCGGCCUCUGCUAAUGAUCGUCUUCGGUGAAAGAUACAUCGAACAAUGAAUCGUCCGUCUGCAUGGACGAGAAAGAAGGAAGGAAGGAAGGAAGGAAGGAAGGAAAGAAAGAAGGAAGGAAGGAAGGAAGGAAGGAAGGAAGGAAGGUAGAGUCCGGAGAAAAACGAGCGAGAUAUAUCGUCCUGCCGGCUGUUAAUAAGACGAGACAAUGCCCGGGACCCGUUGGCGGAUGCCAAGUGGAAAAUGUGGCUUGACCAGAGAACGAACAGAGGAUGAGGUGAAAGAAGAGGUGGAGAUGCAACGGCGUGCGGCACGAACCGACUAUAGGACGAUGGACUUCCUUCGCGACUAAGACGACGAUGACGACGAGGACGUGGACAUGGACGUGGACGACGAUGACGAUGACGACGAAGACGACGACGACGACAACGACAUCUCGCAUUCUGACGAGAUCAAAAGCCUACAAGCGAGCCAACAAAUACGGUUCGCCACUGCCGCGACUCAUAAACUAACGU
Long non-coding RNA from Vespa velutina, 605 nucleotides. RefSeq lists it as uncharacterized. The transcript is spliced from 3 exons. The record is from RefSeq and is a predicted model, not a curated record. NCBI's taxonomy places the organism in Eukaryota, Metazoa, Arthropoda, Insecta, Hymenoptera, Vespidae.